CCUACGGGAGACAGCAGUGGGGGAUAUUGGGCAAUGGGCGCAAGCCUGACCCAGCAACGCCGCGUGGAGGAAGAAGCCUUUCGGGUUGUAAACUUCUGUUAAGAGGGCAGAGCAGAAGACGGUACCUCUUGAAUAAGCCACGGCUAACUACGUGCCAGGCGCCGCGGUAAUACGUAGGUGGCACGCGUUGUCCGGAUCUACUGGGUGUAAAGGGCGUGCAGCCGGGAAUACAAGACAGAUGUGAAAGCCCGCGGCUCAACCGCGGAACUGCAUUUGAAACUGUUUUUCUUGAGUACCGGAGAGGUAAUCGGAAUUCCUUGUGUAGCGGUGAAAUGCGUAGAUAUAAGGAAGAACACCAGUGGCGAAGGCGGAUGACUGGACGGCAACUGACGGUGAGGCGCGAAAGCGUGGGGAGCAAACAGGAUUAGAUACCCGAGUAGUC
RNAcentral lists this ribosomal RNA (442 nucleotides) under uncultured bacterium. RNAcentral's name for it is "partial 16S ribosomal RNA". It matches the Rfam family "Bacterial small subunit ribosomal RNA", at positions 338 to 795 of the family's 1533-position model. The record is from RNAcentral.